Molecule: ribosomal RNA, 410 nt
Filed under: uncultured bacterium
Lineage: Bacteria
Description: bacterial SSU rRNA
Rfam family: Bacterial small subunit ribosomal RNA
Source: RNAcentral
AAUGGGCGAAAGCCUGACGCAGCCAUACCGCGUGUGUGAAGAAGGCCUUCGGGUUGUAAAGCACUUUCAGUGGGGAGGAAAAGCGGGUGGCUAAUAUCCAUCGGCCGUGACGCUACCCACAGAAGAAGCACCGGCUAAUUCCGUGCCAGCAGCCGCGGUAAUACGGAAGGUGCGAGCGUUAAUCGGAAUUACUGGGCGUAAAGCGCACGUAGGUGGCUUGGUAAGUCGGAUGUGAAAGCCCCGGGCUCAACCUGGGAACGGCAUUCGAUACUGCUGAGCUAGAGUACGAAAGAGGGGGGUGGAAUUCCAGGUGUAGCGGUGAAAUGCGUAGAGAUCUGGAGGAACACCGGUGGCGAAGGCGGCCCCCUGGUUCGAUACUGACGCUGAGGUGCGAAAGCGUGGGGAGCAAA